Molecule: long non-coding RNA, 391 nt
Organism: Fukomys damarensis (Damara mole-rat)
Lineage: Eukaryota; Metazoa; Chordata; Mammalia; Rodentia; Bathyergidae
Exons: 3
Source: RefSeq, a predicted model, not a curated record
UCCAUCUUGCUUGCUGAGAGGGAAUCCAGGUGUCAUAUGUUAAGGACACUAAAGCAGCCCCAUGCAGAGGCCACAUGGACAGAGCCACAGGUCUCCUGCCACAAGCCAGUGCCAACUGGAUAACCAUGAUGACCUUCCCCACCCAGCUGUGGAAAACAGGAGAAUGCAGCGACCUCAGCUGAAAUUCAACCACCACUGAAGCCUAUAGAGAAAAGUGACAGAGGAUAACUGCAGAGAUGAAACCCUUCCUUCUGGCUGCCUAGGCCUGACUCAUACUCAGCCCUACUCUACUCUACCUCCUGGGGCACCGGAUUCCUCACUCAGGAUCCAGAUCACAUUGUGAGAGGUUUCAUUUCAUCAGAAAUCUUUGACAGAGACUUCACCGGUGAGA